Molecule: long non-coding RNA, 1031 nt
Filed under: Setaria viridis
Lineage: Eukaryota; Viridiplantae; Streptophyta; Magnoliopsida; Poales; Poaceae
Description: long non-coding RNA (SVIR_LNC010764)
Source: RNAcentral
CUCAAGUGAAAGAGAAAGGACUAUGGUGAAACAUAACUUCCAAAGGUAUGAAGCGAGCAUAGGAGAUAUUCCAGGCCAUACCUUGCACUUGUGAACUUUGAAGUGUCUAUCAUGCCAUCUUGGGUAAUUGAGGUAUGGAACGAUCUUUAAUCAAGUCACCUAUACUCCUUAUGUCAAGUAGCUUGGGAUUUUUCAAUAAGUUUCCAAAAUCAAACCUUGCUUAGGUCCUCAUUUGAUUCUCUCCGAUCACUUAAUGUGUAUAUAUCCUCACAAAGACAUUCGACAUUGCCUUUCUUCAUCCUACUCCUAAUGAUGGCUUAUAUGUGGAGCUCAAGGUAGGGUAUGAAGGAUAAGGCAUAUUUGUAUCACAUAUAUUGCAAAUUCAAAAACUGGAUCCAAAGAGAAAAACAAUUCAUAUGAUCAGAUCAAGAUGUGCACGUGUAUGGAUAUGGUGGAUGGUGAAUGGUGGAUGAAAUGGAAACUCCUUUUUGUAUGAUCCCUCCCCCUUUGUAAUUUCUUUUGAGACAUGGCUAUCUUUCUUUUUUUUCUUUUUUCUUUUUCUUGGACCUUCAUGUGUCCAACCUUUUUUUCAAUACUUGGACCUUCAUGUGUCCAUAUUUUUUUUAAUAGGCCAUGUCUCUUUUGUAACAAUAAUAGGAGAGGGAGACCAACACAUAUAAUGGAGCAUUUAUUUUGUGGAAUGGAUGGAUGGUACAAUGCUAACUCCUCAUAGAAGAAUAGCAAGGGGGUAUAUGGUGUGCACGUGAAUCUUGAUUAUGAAAUCAUGAAAAGAAUUCUUCACAAGGGUGACAACAAUUUUACAAAGCUCAAUGCAAAGACAAGCAGCAUAUGCAUAGGAUUUUCAAGAUAUCUCAUUAUAUGGCUUUGGUAGGACUUUGGAAUAUCAAAGAGGAGCUUGCAAAGGCUUUUUAAAAUUUCAAAUAAAUUUCCCAAGCACUUAAACAUCAAGAGUGAAGAUCAUAUCAUCAAACCAUAUCUCAAACAUCAACUCUUAGAUGAGCAUGCUUUCC